This 1048-nucleotide long non-coding RNA is filed under the name Sarcophilus harrisii (Tasmanian devil). Its description in RNAcentral is "lncRNA (ENSSHAG00000032020.1)". The record is from RNAcentral. Lineage: Eukaryota; Metazoa; Chordata; Mammalia; Dasyuromorphia; Dasyuridae.
GGAGGGGGAGAUUGAGUUUCCAAGCAGUUGUAGGGAAGGGGGCAAAGAGGGAGGAGGAAACUCGGAGGAGGAAACUCAGAAGAGAGAUUCUGCUAUAAAAGAAACUCCCCUUCCCCUUGGGCCUGGAAUCCUGAACCUCUGUACCUUCUCCUGUCUCUACCUAUAAGGAGGUCCAGGCCCUCUGGGUAAAAAACAAAAAUCUACAUGGGUUUCUCUACAGCUCUAGAGGAUGUGGCCUCCCACUAUCUCUCCAUUUUUGUGAUUGGAUUCUACAUCUUGGGAAGUCUGCAGGAAGGUAGGGAGCUGGUCAUCCUCAUGACCCAAGUUCUCUCUGUGGAGCUUCUGACCCCCAUGCACCUAGUUCUGAUGAAGACCUUGCAUGUGCUGUGGGUCUGCUCCAUGCGAUUCUUUUCUACUCUGUUCCACUGGAGCCAAAGAUGCAACCUGUCCCUGUGGAAAGAACUGAAGCAGAAACAAGCAAAGGUCCUUUUCAACUGGACCCAGAAGGCAUACAUUGGGUUAAUCACCUUCUACCAGGAGAAAAGCAAUGCCUGUAAGACCAUUCUGGAUGAAACCACAAAGCAGCUUUUCUUCAUCGCACUUCUUGAAUACCUGGACAAGUUCUGGAUACUAGUCUAUCAAUGGACCCAGAUCAUCGUAACUUUUUCCAUCCUAAAGCAGGUCAAGACAUGGUGGGGCUUCCAUUCCAUUGACGAAGAACCUUGUAUUCCUUUCUUUUCAGGAUGCCAGCUGUCUGACCCAAUGAGCAUUGAAGCUGACUUUGCCUACUGUAAAAAGCCUUCCCCCCGAUUCCAUCUACGUCAGAUUCCUGGCAGGGCCCAUAAAGUCAAGAGAGAAAACCAGGAGCUGUAAAGUGUUCCUCAAGACCACAGAUCCAUGCAAUACAAAGAGAAAAAGCUCCAUCUUAUGACCUUCAAAUAGAGCUGAUAUCGAUGCACCUAGAGCUCUGAGUAUCACUGCACUUCUAAUGCACCAACAUCCACUUGAUCUGUUAAAAAGAAAAUAAAAUGACCCAGUGUGAAACCUC